AUGAAUUGCAUUGUUUGGAACUGUCGGGGUGUGGGGAACACCUCGACAGUUCGUGAUCUCGUGGCUCUCACUCGAGCCCAUUCCCCGAGCUUUGUCUUUCUAUGUGAAACUAGGCAGCAAAAAGAUAAGAUGUAUCGUCUUCAUGAUCGUGUUGGUCUGCGUGGUUUUGAAGGAGUUAGUAGUGAUGGUAAUGGUGGAUUAGCUUUGUUUUGGGACGAGUCUUUGUACGUUGAUAUUCGUGAUUGCAAUAAAAGAUGGAUUGAUGUGUAUGUUCGGUUACCCGCUGAUGAUCAAAUUUGGAGAAUCACGUUUGUGUAUGGGGAACCGAGGGUAGAAAAUAGACACCUGAUGUGGGAGGGGCUGAAAAGAUUGAAAGCUCAAGAUGACAUACCAUGGCUCUUGGCAGGAGAUUUCAAUGAGGUAAUGUGGGACUAUGAGCAUUUGUCGGAUACACCAAGGUCGCCCGGGCAGAUGAUUGCUUUCCGGGAUGUGUUGGAAGCUUGCAACUUAUCUGACCUAGGCUUCUCUGGCUAUCCAUUCACAUAUGAUAAUAAACGCAGUGGGCGUGCUAAUGUGCAAGUGAGACUUGAUAGGGCAGUGGCUGAU
Molecule: ribosomal RNA, 606 nt
Filed under: Triticum aestivum (bread wheat)
Lineage: Eukaryota; Viridiplantae; Streptophyta; Magnoliopsida; Poales; Poaceae
Description: partial small subunit ribosomal RNA
Source: RNAcentral